Molecule: ribosomal RNA, 448 nt
Filed under: uncultured prokaryote
Description: bacterial SSU rRNA
Rfam family: Bacterial small subunit ribosomal RNA
Source: RNAcentral
UGGGGAAUAUUGCACAAUGGGCGCAAGCCUGAUGCAGCAAUGCCGCGUGUGUGAAGAAGGCCUGCGGGUUGUAAAGCACUUUUAUCGGGAAAGAAAAACCUAAGGUUAAUACCCUUGGACUUGACGGUACCCGAGGAAUAAGCACCGGCUAACUCCGUGCCAGCAGCCGCGGUAAUACGGAGGGUGCGAGCGUUAAUCGGAAUUACUGGGCGUAAAGCGAGUGUAGGCGGCUACGUCAGUCGGAUGUGAAAGCCCCGGGCUUAACCUGGGAAUUGCAUUCGAUACUGCGUGGCUAGAGUCUGGUAGAGGGAAGUGGAAUUCCAGGUGUAGCGGUGAAAUGCGUAGAUAUCUGGAGGAACAUCAGUGGCGAAGGCGGCUUCCUGGACCAAGACUGACGCUCAGGCUCGAAAGCGUGGGUAGCAAACAGGAUUAGAUACCCCCGUAGUCC